GGGGUACUCUAUGCUGAGAUCUGAUAGCAAGCUGUACUUGUACAGCGAAGUGGUUGAUGCCAUGCUUCCAGGAAAAGUCUCUAAGCUUCAGUUACACAGGAAUCGUACCCGAAACCGACACAGGUGGUCAGGUCGAGUAGACCAAGGCGCUUGAGAGAACUCUGCUGAAGGAACUAGGCAAAAUGGUACCGUAACUUCGGGAGAAGGUACGCUGUUGUUGGUGAUGGAACUCGCUUCCUGAGCUGACGACAGCCGCAGAAACCAGGCCGCUGCAACUGUUUAUUAAAAACAUAGCACUCUGCAAACACGAAAGUGGACGUAUAGGGUGUGAUGCCUGCCCGGUGCUGGAAGGUUAAUUGAUGGGGUUAGCGUAAGCGAAGCUCUUGAUCGAAGCCCCAGUAAACGGCGGCCGUAACUAUAACGGUCCUAAGGUAGCGAAAUUCCUUGUCGGGUAAGUUCCGACCUGCACGAAUGGCAUAAUGAUGGCGGCGCUGUCUCCAGCAGAGGCUCAGUGAAAUCGAAAUCGCUGUGAAGAUGCAGUGUACCCGCGGCUAGACGGAAAGACCCCGUGAACCUUUACUGCAGCUUGACACUGAACUUUGACCUUACUUGUGUAGGAUAGGUGGGAGGCUUUGAAGCUGGAACGCUAGUUCCAGUGGAGCCGUCCUUGAAAUACCACCCUGGUAAUGUUGAGGUUCUAACUCUGUCCCGUGAUCCGGGACGAGGACCGUGUCUGGUGGGUAGUUUGACUGGGGCGGUCUCCUCCUAAAGAGUAACGGAGGAGUACGAAGGUGCGCUCAGCGUGGUCGGAAAUCACGCGUAGAGUAUAAAGGCAAAAGCGCGCUUAACUGCGAGACCCACAAGUCGAGCAGGUACGAAAGUAGGUCUUAGUGAUCCGGUGGUUCUGUAUGGAAGGGCCAUCGCUCAACGGAUAAAAGGUACUCUGGGGAUAACAGGCUGAUACCGCCCAAGAGUUCAUAUCGACGGCGGUGUUUGGCACCUCGAUGUCGGCUCAUCUCAUCCUGGGGCUGAAGCAGGUCCCAAGGGUAUGGCUGUUCGCCAUUUAAAGAGGUACGCGAGCUGGGUUUAGAACGUCGUGAGACAGUUCGGUCCCUAUCUACCGUGGGCGCUGGAAAUUUGAGAGGAUCUGCUCCUAGUACGAGAGGACCAGAGUGGACGAACCUCUGGUGUACCGGUUGUGACGCCAGUCGCAUCGCCGGGUAGCUAUGUUCGGAAGGGAUAACCGCUGAAAGCAUCUAAGCGGGAAGCCUACCUCAAGAUAAGAUUUCCCUAGGACUUUAUGUCCUCUAAAGAGCCGUUCGAGACUAGGACGUUGAUAGGUUGGAUGUGGAAGCAUAGUGAUAUGUGAAGCUGACCAAUACUAAUUGCUCGUGAGGCUUGACUAU
This 1406-nucleotide ribosomal RNA is filed under the name Acinetobacter baumannii. RNAcentral describes it as "partial 23S ribosomal RNA". It matches the Rfam family "Bacterial large subunit ribosomal RNA", at positions 1543 to 2925 of the family's 2925-position model. Lineage: Bacteria; Pseudomonadati; Pseudomonadota; Gammaproteobacteria; Moraxellales; Moraxellaceae. The record is from RNAcentral.